AGAGACUUAAGUGACUUGACUGCCUCAAUUGUAAAAUUAUGAACCGCAUGAUUUCGUAUUGUUUCGUCGUCUUACACAUCAAUUCGCGUAUUUUAGAGGCCGCUUCUUAGAAGAACCGCUUCAACUGUCAGCAAGAAGAUUUUAGUUGAUGUCCUACACGGAUUUCAAGUGUUUCUAAACGAUGCCACGUUCUGAAGCGAUUCUGUCUGUGUUACCCCUUAUCGGUAUCGUUAAUCUCUGUUUCUUCGCAAUGGCUCGUUACCCAGGCUGACUAUGCAUACGCCGGGUGCCCUCAAAGACUGUUUUAGGCUUCAUGGGCCAGAUAGAUAUUUCCCUCGAAUCUCUCUUUCCAUUCUCACCCAAAGUACACAGAGUUACUCGAUAGGCCAGAAAGAAUGUCAUUGUGAGCUGUACUUCCAAUCUCACUCAAGACAUGUGUCAAGUACCACAUGGUAACUUAGGAACAACUUCCAUCAGGCUAUUCGAGGUGUUUUCCUGAGACAGACCAUCUCGAGUACGUGUAUCCAAGGUCCAUAUUUGAGACAUCAAAUUUUGUUAAAGGAUGCCU
Molecule: long non-coding RNA, 568 nt
Organism: Varroa destructor (honeybee mite)
Lineage: Eukaryota; Metazoa; Arthropoda; Arachnida; Mesostigmata; Varroidae
Source: RefSeq, a predicted model, not a curated record